Molecule: ribosomal RNA, 589 nt
Filed under: Pichia kluyveri
Lineage: Eukaryota; Fungi; Ascomycota; Pichiomycetes; Pichiales; Pichiaceae
Description: eukaryotic LSU rRNA
Rfam family: Eukaryotic large subunit ribosomal RNA
Source: RNAcentral
UAGGGGGGAAUGGCUCAGUAAGCGGCGAGUGAAGCGGCAAGAGCUCAGAUUUGAAAUCUCACCUAGUGUGCGAGUUGUAAAUUGCAGGUUGGAGUCUCGGGUUAGACGUGUGUGCAAGUCCCUUGGAACAGGGUGCCACUGAGGGUGAGAGCCCCGUAGCGUGCAUGUCGACACCUGUGAGGCCCUUCUGACGAGUCGAGUUGUUUGGGAAUGCAGCUCUAAGUGGGUGGUAAAUUCCAUCUAAGGCUAAAUAUUGGCGAGAGACCGAUAGCGAACAAGUACUGUGAAGGAAAGAUGAAAAGCACUUUGAAAAGAGAGUGAAACAGCACGUGAAAUUGUUGAAAGGGAAGGGUAUUGGGCUCGACAUGGGAUUUACGCAUCGUUGCCUCUCGUGGGCGGCGCUCUGGGUUUUUCCUGGGCCAGCAUCGGUUUUCGUUGCAGGAUAAGGACAAUUGGAAUGUGGCUCCUCGGAGUGUUAUAGCCUUUUGUAGAUGCUGCGUAUGGGGACCGAGGGCUGCGGCGGACUCGUUUCGUCUCGGAUGCUGGCACAACGGCGCAAUACCGCCCGUCUUGAAACAACGGACCCAUA